Molecule: long non-coding RNA, 3216 nt
Organism: Alligator sinensis (Chinese alligator)
Lineage: Eukaryota; Metazoa; Chordata; Crocodylia; Alligatoridae
Exons: 3
Source: RefSeq, a predicted model, not a curated record
AGGCACGCACUCUGAGAGGAAUGAGAAGGGAUCCCUAUGGCGACGGAGACAGAGAGCCCAGGAGGUAGGGACGCACGUCCAGACGACAAGGGGAAUUUUGGGGAGCGAGGCACCCUUCCCCAGAUUGUGUCCUGCAGUGAAAAGACAGCCUCUGCGGCUCAGAUGCCCUUCAUCAGGCAAAGGAAAAAUCAAAGCUGUUAAGAGUUCUCCCAGGUAGAAAGGAAACUUCAUCUUGCAGACAAGAAACCAGAGAUGUUGGGGUUUCUCCCAAGUGGAAAGCACCAGACAUUGGAGUCAGUCAAGAGAUUGAAAGGAAAGCUCCGUCUUCAUUUAAAAAGAAAUGUACAUUUCUAGCUUUUCUGGUUGUAUAGAAAAACUUGAAAGAACAAAACAAGUGAACUGUAAGGCCAGUAGGCAACUUCCUGUCUGACUGAAGCCAGAAGGCAACCUCCUGUCCACCCCUCAAUCCCCUCCAAAACCUCCAAAUUUUUAUUAUUAUUGAAAAAAAUCUCAUGAUUUUUAAGCCAAUCUUAUGAUACACAACUUCUAAUUUUUUGAAUGCUUGGAUAGCAAUGCUUUAAAUUAUUUGUUACAAAUGAUCUGUAGGCCCUACAAAAGCAAAUAGAUUCUACAGGACAACACCCUGUGGGAAAAGGGUAUGUAUCUUGAUGAGUGAUUCAUUAUGCUGCAUUAAAUCAUUGGGCCUGCCUAACAUUAAAGUAUACCUAAUAAUCUCUUAUCUAAAUAACGUUCCCUUGAAAUCUUCCAUUUAAGCUUUUUUAUAUUGUUGGGGUGAAGGUAUAAACUGAUGAGUUGGAAAUUUGGCUGGAGGAAGCUGGCAGGUAGCAUUGGUCUCUAGAUACUAAGGUGUUUGGCAUAUUAAAAGAGAUCAGAUAGAGAGAGAAUAUUCACUAAGCCUUCCUCCCAAGUGUAUUAUUUGGAGGACUGUUAAAGGAGGCGGAUGACUUUUGGAGAGCAAGACUGAAAUUAUCCCAAAAGAAAUUAAAUGUUUCUUUGAGAGGACCUAAUUGGUCAAAGCUUUUAGAAAAUACUAACCAGUGUUCAGGCAUUAAUAGGAAUUUCACUAAAUCAGAAAUGCUAUUUUAUGUCCAGCACUAGUAUAGAAGAAGCAGAGUGAUUUGAAGUUACUGCGAGAGCAGUUCAUAAUGAUAUAUACACCAUACUUGGUUUGUACUUGUUUUCUUAUCUUCUCUCUUUUUUCAAUUUUUUUUAAUAUUGCUUCCUCAUAGGGUUGAUUUCUUCUUGCACAUUUUCAUGCUGCAUGAUUUUCAAAAGCAACCAGCAUUAUUCACUGUCUUGAUUUGGGGAGACCUGAUCUGAAACACUUUGAAUGGGCUUGGUGAUCAGACUGUGGUGAUCAACAUUUCCUGAAUAUAAGAUUCCUUAAUACGAUUCAAGUUGCUUCAUCUAGACCAGUAUCCAAUCUCUGAUAGGGGCUGGUACUAAAAACUUAAGAAGAAGGUAGAAGACUCUCCUAACAGGCAUUUAAUGAAUAAUUGGUCUAAAGGGGAGGUUGAUUCCUAAACUACAUCUGCUAGUGAUUGGUGGGUGUGUCUACAAGUUUGCUUUAAUGUGCAAUAGCCUAUUUUACUGUGCAUGUCAAAAACCAUACUAUGUUAGUGUGCAGUAAAAAUAGGCUACUGUUAUUAAGCAUCACUAAAGUAGUGCACAUUUUCACUACUGCACAGUAAGGCAGCCUAAUGCAUAUUUAUUUAGUACCUCACAUUAGAGAGAGUAAAUUUAAAGUGCAUUAGGAAAAGCACAUUAAUGAACAUGUAGAUACGCCUGGUGUGUGCUCCUACAUCUUCCAAUUUUUUUUGAAUGUCGUUCUAGAGUCUCCUCCUUCUUCAUGUACACAUCUCAUCAGUUCUGAAGUUCUUGGCUUCAGUGUUAUCUUGUGCAAUAAAUUCCACGUGAUAAAUGGAUAUAGACACACAAAUGCUUGGAGCCCUUUCAAAAGGGAAAUGUUUCAAAAGGGUAGCAGCUGGUACAUUCUACAUUCUAAUCAUUGUGUGUGAAUGAGUUAAGAAAAACUGAAAUAGCAAAACUGCUUCAAGUUAAUGGGUGACUGGUGCCUCCUGAGCCACUGGUGUACCAUGGGUCUCUGAUGCCUGGGUGCCAAUGCCUGCAUUGCACUCCCUGCUCAUCCAUGGCCAAUGGCUGGGGGAGUUCCUCUGUGUUCCCUCUCAGCUCUGUGUUCUUGGGGAACCCUGGCACAGUACAUAGCCAGUCUGACUCACAAAGGACUCACCCCCUCCCCACCUCUGCCUGAACAAGAACUAAUUAGAGGAAGGACUUACAAAACACAAUGAAGAUGCAGAGGGAGACACAUAUAAAGCCCUCUAGACAAGGGUGGUAAGAGUGAAGCAACUCCCCUGCUCUCAUUUGCAUCAGGGAUGGAACUGGAUGACAUCUCAUUGAAAUGGGAGAUAGGCCAGGAAUGUACCUUCAUUAGCAAUCAGGAUGGAGAACAAAGAUGCCAAAGCAAGGACUGCUCUGAAUUCUGGGAACAGAGAAGCAGGUGAGCACUGCAUGAUGGGGGCUCCCUGCUCCAAAUGAGAAUCAACCCACAUCUACACACACCCAGCUCAGCAUUUAUCAGACCAAUUCUAGUAAUGACUCCUUUAUUGGUACCCAAAACACUGAAUCUGCCUAUCUGUAUCAUGAACUCCCUCAUAGUAAUGCCACCCACAGCAAGGAGUGAUCAGUUCCUUUAUCCAGCACAUGGGCAAUUGUUUACCUGUAAACAAAACUAGUGUUCUCCCUUGAGCCAUAGUUAGUUCUCUACAAAACCCCCUACCUAAGCUCAAGUUUCUGUCCUGGUGCUUGGAUCCAAAAGCUGCACCAGUUCCAUUCCUUUUCUGCCUGGGAUCCCUUCAUCAAUUGUGCUGAGGACUCUACCUGCUUGCAAGCUUCACCAAACACCUGGGAACUUCAACUGGUUCAAGUUUCACUGAGUGGUGAGACCCCAACUCUCUCUCUGUUUCUGACUCCAGGAACCUGACUUUUAUUCACUUAUUCCAGGCACAGCUUUCUAAGCCUGACUUUUGCUAAUCAAAUUUGAGCUAGGCUUCCCUAAAUACCUAAUUGAAACAAUGUAAUAUUGUAACUGUUUUAUUUGUCUCUCUUGUAUGUCUAUUACUACUGUAUCAUCAUAAGUUCAUACACCUGGCAAUAAAUAACUUUUAUGGUCAA